CGUAGAGGGGGGNAGAAUUCCCAGGUGUAGCGGUGAAAUGCGUAGAGAUCUGGAGGAAUACCGGUGGCGAAGGCGGCCCCCUGGACGAAGACUGACGCUCAGGUGCGAAAGCGUGGGGAGCAAACAGGAUUAGAUACCCUGGUAGUCCACGCCGUAAACGAUGUCGACUUGGAGGUUGUGCCCUUGAGGCGUGGCUUCCGGAGCUAACGCGUUAAGUCGACCGCCUGGGGAGUACGGCCGCAAGGUUAAAACUCAAAUGAAUUGACGGGGGCCCGCACAAGCGGUGGAGCAUGUGGUUUAAUUCGAUGCAACGCGAAGAACCUUACCUGGUCUUGACAUCCAGAGAAUCCUGCAGAGAUGCGGGAGUGCCUUCGGGAACUCUGAGACAGGUGCUGCAUGGCUGUCGUCAGCUCGUGUUGUGAAAUGUUGGGUUAAGUCCCGCAACGAGCGCAACCCUUAUCCUUUGUUGCCAGCGGUUCGGCCGGGAACUCAAAGGAGACUGCCGGUGAUAAACCGGAGGAAGGNGGGGAUGACGUCAAGUCAUCAUGGCCCUUACGACCAGGGCUACACACGUGCUACAAUGGCGCAUACAAAGAGAAGCGACCUCGCGAGAGCAAGCGGACCUCAUAAAAGUGCGUCGUAGUCCGGAUUGGAGUCUGCAACUCGACUCCAUGAAAGUCGGAAUCGCUAGUAAUCGUGGAUCAGAAUGCCACGGNGAAUACGUNNCCCNGGCCUUGUAC
This 740-nucleotide ribosomal RNA is filed under the name Cronobacter sp. SaH-11. RNAcentral describes it as "bacterial SSU rRNA". It matches the Rfam family "Bacterial small subunit ribosomal RNA", at positions 650 to 1386 of the family's 1533-position model. Lineage: Bacteria; Pseudomonadati; Pseudomonadota; Gammaproteobacteria; Enterobacterales; Enterobacteriaceae. The record is from RNAcentral.